This 323-nucleotide small nuclear RNA is filed under the name Jaculus jaculus (lesser Egyptian jerboa). Its description in RNAcentral is "7SK RNA (ENSJJAG00000000727.1)". It matches the Rfam family "7SK RNA", at positions 1 to 277 of the family's 331-position model. From Rfam's summary of the family: 7SK was discovered as an abundant small nuclear RNA in the mid-70s but a possible function has only recently been suggested. Two independent studies have found that 7SK RNA binds the CDK9/cyclin T complex (known as elongation factor P-TEFb). The record is from RNAcentral. Lineage: Eukaryota; Metazoa; Chordata; Mammalia; Rodentia; Dipodidae.
GGAUCUGAGGGUAAUCUUGCUGAGAGAUCUGUCACCCCACUGACCACCAGGGUUAACUCAGCUGAUGUGGUUGGCUAAGUAGCUGCCCCCUUCCUCCUUCACUCUUCCAUGUGCAUCCCUCCAGAAGAUGCUUGUUCAGUGGACUAGGACCAUCCUCCCAAAAUAGAGGAGGAGCUGUCUUACAUCAAGGAUAAGUGAAUAGCUGUGCCUCCCUGCUGGAAUCUCUAAGCAAUCUCUCAAGAACAGAGCUGCCCCAACAUACCCCAAAAGAGGCCCAACUGAAACUAAGGACAACUGGCAAAAUAAGCAAGGGUGAUGUUUUC